Small RNA from Novosphingobium sp. ST904, 287 nucleotides. It matches the Rfam family "5' ureB small RNA". Lineage: Bacteria; Pseudomonadati; Pseudomonadota; Alphaproteobacteria; Sphingomonadales; Sphingomonadaceae. The record is from Rfam.
CCUCUUCCACCUGCUGCGGGCAGAUGAAGUGGAUAUGCGCGUCGAUCCCCCCGGCGGUGAGGAUGCGCCCCUCGCCGGCGAUGAUCUCGGUGCCGGGGCCGAUGGGAAUGUCCACGCCCGGCUGCACGUCGGGGUUGCCCGCCUUGCCGAUGGCGCUGAUCCGCCCGUCGCGCAGGGCGACGUCGGCCUUGAUGAUUCCCCAGUGAUCCAGGAUCACCGCAUUGGUGAUGACGGUAUCGGGCGCACCUUCGGCCCGGGUCAUCUGCGACUGGCCCAUGCCGUCGCGG